CACUUUAUAAAUUUCAGUUGUAAUGUCACUAUCCAAUGUAAUGCAUGCUUUAAUAAACUUCACCUGCUUUGACAUUUGGUCGAAUUGCAAAAGUUGAGAUUCGAAUCUCAGUUACGACGAUUGGAAUUGCAAAAGGCGAGAUUCAAAUAAAAUCAAUUGAAUUAAGUUGAGUUCAACCCCACAUUUCUUGUGAAUGAAGAUUUUAUGGUUACAAGUUUCAAGGGAAUGACCUGACCCUUGAGUCAUUAUUGUUGUAGAAGUGGACUUCUUUCCCAGGCAUUUGGACUGAGUUCGAAUCUUGUUGUCAUAGAGGGCUUUACUUGAAUACCACCUCUGGCCCGAACAGGAUUAGACUUAGAUCGUAAAACGGAUGAGAACACCUGUGGUUAUAAAAAAAUGAUAUGUUGCUGGUAAUCCUUAUUGUUCAUUGUGGUUCUAAUUAAGCUAGUCUGCCAUUGGUUUUGAUACUAUCUUCUUAGUCUAUGUUUAAAUGAAUUUCAAAGGCUUUGACAUAUGGCCAAUAAUGAGAAGUUGUUACAUGGGGUAGUUCUUUUGUUUCCUAUCAUCUCUGAAGAUACAUAUUUCUUUUUUUUUAAUGGAAGUCAUGAGCGUCACUCUCGUUGAAUUGGAAUAUUGAUGAAAUCUGAGGGUUUUUUUUUUUUUUUGAAUUGCUGAUUUUUAGUUGUUGUAACUUAAGUGUUGAUUUUUGUAGCUUGGUUAGAUCCUUUGUAGCCAAUGUGCUUAAGGUUUUACAUAAUUUCCUCGGUUUUCUUUGAGCUCCAGUUGUAUUUUGCCCAAUGAUGGAAAACUGAUUGGGCAAUUCUGGGUUUCAAUUUAUCUCUAGCUUUACACACUGCCUGUUUCAUUCUCUGUCAAUAUACACAUACGUAUUAUAUAUGUUUGUAUGUAUGCGUGUAUAUUUAUUUAUUUUAUUUAUUAUUGCUGGUGGUGUGUUAAGAGCUAUUGGUGAAUGCCUUUACAGUGAACUGUCCAUGAUUUUGGCAUAGCUAUGUGAUGUGGUUUUGGGGAGAAAAUAGCAACAAUAGAAAGAAUUAGGGCUAAACAAACGAUUAGUAAAGAAGAUGCAAGUCUAGAAAACUUAGGGUUAUAGAAAACCUCUAGUUUUUCUAUUGAUUCAAGAAAAAUAAUAAGAACAAUAAUUAUGGCUAUAAAGCCUACAACUUAUUUAUAUUACUAGGCUUUCUUGCAAAUAAAUUUUAUUCUAGUCCUGGAUUUAAACCCUAAAAUACUUAAUAACCCUAGCCGUCUGUAAUAUAUCUAAUAUUUAAAAUAGAUAUUAUAAGAUAAAACUGACAUGAUAAAAUAUUAUAAUAAAAAUAAAAUAUCCUACAUCACUAUGAGAUCUGAAGGCUCUUUUUAAUUUCGCUUUUAGGUUUAUUGAAGUCAGAUAUUGUCUUCAGGCUUAGUCAAAAGUGCAGAGCAGAUAGUGUUUAUUUCUGGGACUUAUACGAGACUACUAUUUAAGGCAAUUUUGAAGAUAUCUUUUACCACACAAUCUUUGGUAUUAUUUUGCUCAUAGCCCUCGGAUACUUUGUGUGGAGAGGUUGCUAUGGCAUCAAUGUCAGCCUCCAUCCUUCCAACUACUUGUCAUUAUUGGUUUUGGUGAUUCUUGUUCUCCUUCCCUCUUCUUUGUUGUUAUUGUUAUUAUUGUUGAUAUAAUUCAUGGUCUUAUGAUUAAUGAUGGCACUGGUAUACCGGUAGUAGUAGAUGUGGAGAAGUCUUCAAUGCAAUAGUGUCACAAUUGACGAAACUAUUCUGAGGUCUGGCCUUCGAGGGCAUUUGCAGGUUCUUUCUAUUAAGCAUGUGUUUGAACUUUCUGGUGUUAGCCUUUAUUUGAAAUUUUCUGUUAUCAUUUAUUUUGAAUUUGCUGCUGUUUUCCUUUGUUUUGAAUUUUGUUGUUUGUUAGUAUCAUCUGCAAAUAAGUCUCCUAUAGAAGAGGAGCAUCUCUAGGCUUCUUUGACGUAUUAAUAUGCUUGCUGCCAUUGAAUAAAAUCAAUAUCUUUUUUUUUUCACUGUCACUUGCAUUUAUAUGGUGUCAGAGCCUUCCUAAGCCCCAACAAGUUUUAUCCAUCGCAAGUGACAUUUUUUUCAUUCUGCCAUAUGUUUUAUUUUAUUUGAAGAUCUUUGAUGUUCCUUAGUUGAUGACUUUGCUGGUUGUAUGCGUUCAAGUAUGCUGCUUUAAUCUUAGUUCUAUUAUUUUAGAUAUUACAAUCACUAAGUUACAGAAAUUCCAUCUAGAUUCAUCAGCCUAAUUGAGGGUUUCACUGUUCCUAUUUCUCUGACCUCCAUUCCUUUAUUGAUAAUGCAUGUAUGUCAAGGUCCAUGCCUUGUUUUAAUAUAACUUCUGAAGCAAGCAGUUCUUUGGAAUAUUGGUAACUGGAAUGGUGUCUAAUCCCUAGUAAUAAUUCUUGCAGAUGGUAAUGACUGUUUGGAAAACUAAUUUUAUUGAAUUGAGUCAUUUUUUACUAUAAACCUUGCUAGAAUAUUUAUUUAAUGCUUAGAUUUUUCUCUGCUUGUUGAUUAAUGUGUAGAAGAUCUGGGUAUCUUAUAUUUCAAAUUUUCAACAUUUUAUGUUUAAACACUACAGUAUUUAUUUUAUUUUUUUUCUUUUGCAAUUUCAUUUUGCUGCAUUAGUUUUUUUGGCCCAAUGAUAGAAAACUCAUUGAAAUGGAGCAGUUAUUUCUGAUUUUUGUUUCGGACCUUUGCUAUCAGCAAUGGCAUCAACAAUUCAACAUUUAAUAUGAUCCCUUUUCCUUCCUUUUCUUUUCCUCUACAAUAUUUGUUUCAUAUGAUGAAAAGCUUUUUCUCUUUCUUUCUCUCUUUCUUCAUAUCAACAUGCCUGCUGAUAUGAUGGAGGCUCGUAACUUAAAUCAGAGAGUUUAAAAACUGCAAAUGACCCAUCAUAGCUAUGAGAUCUGAGGGCUUUUAUGAUUCUUAAUAUCUGCCUUUAUCAUGCCGUGUUGUUGCAGACUUUGUUUCUCUGGUGUAUGAGAUUUUCAUUACUCUAAUUCAUGCGUGAGUGUUGGACACAGGUAUGCCCAAUUUUUUCUAAAGGUUUUCAUGUAUUUGGGGGACCCUAAAGGAUCAUAUAUCAUGGAAUUGUAAGUUGUUUGCAAGCAAGGGUUGUUGAUGUUCAAUCCCAGCUCGCGCUUUAUGGUAAUGACUAAGGAAAAACUAAGUUUAUUGAAUUGAGAGGUUUGUUAAGUUUAUUGAAUUGAGAGGUUUGUUUUUGCUAUAUUGCUAUUAUCAUAUUUAGAAUGAAGCAUUCAAUGCUUGAAUGCUUAGAUUUUCUCACUGUUGAUUGAUUAAUGUGUAAACUACAAUUGUGCUUUUACAAA
Gossypium arboreum is the source of this 3359-nucleotide long non-coding RNA. RefSeq lists it as uncharacterized. The record is from RefSeq and is a predicted model, not a curated record. The transcript has 2 exons. Lineage: Eukaryota; Viridiplantae; Streptophyta; Magnoliopsida; Malvales; Malvaceae.